Molecule: transfer RNA, 72 nt
Filed under: Perca fluviatilis (European perch)
Lineage: Eukaryota; Metazoa; Chordata; Actinopteri; Perciformes; Percidae
Rfam family: tRNA
About the family: Transfer RNA (tRNA) molecules are approximately 80 nucleotides in length. Their secondary structure includes four short double-helical elements and three loops (D, anti-codon, and T loops).
Source: Rfam by way of RNAcentral
GCAAUGGUGGUAUAGUGGUGAGCAUAGCUUUCUUACAAGCAGUUGACCCAGGCUUGAUUCCUGGCCAUUGCA